RNAcentral lists this ribosomal RNA (330 nucleotides) under uncultured soil bacterium. RNAcentral's name for it is "bacterial SSU rRNA". It matches the Rfam family "Bacterial small subunit ribosomal RNA", at positions 26 to 377 of the family's 1533-position model. The record is from RNAcentral.
AGAACGAACGCUGGCGGCAUGCCUAAUACAUGCAAGUCGAACGAACACUUCGGUGUUAGUGGCGCACGGGUGCGUAACGCGUGGGAAUCUGCCCUUGGGUUCGGAAUAACAGUUGAAACGACUGCUAAUACCGGAUGAUGACGAAAGUCCAAAGAUUUAUCGCCCAGGGAUGAGCCCGCGUAGGAUUAGCUAGUUGGUGAGGUAAAGGCUCACAGGCGACGAUCCGUUAGCGUGGUCUGAGAGGAUGAAUCAGCCACACUGGGACGUGAGACACCGGCCCAGACCUCCGUACGGGACGCAGCGGGUAGGGAAUAGUUGGACAAGUGGGCG